Molecule: ribosomal RNA, 7787 nt
Filed under: Triticum aestivum (bread wheat)
Lineage: Eukaryota; Viridiplantae; Streptophyta; Magnoliopsida; Poales; Poaceae
Description: partial small subunit ribosomal RNA
Source: RNAcentral
GCCUGCUGUGCUGCGACCCAACCCCCAAUUUGAAGCAACUAGGUGCUAGGCAGCGGCAGCGGCAUCUGUCACCGGCAGGAAGGCAGACAGGCAGCAUCCCAUCACCGGCGUGCUUGCGACAACGCGCCGCAGGUCGUCCAUCUCUGCUUCUGGCCCGAGGAUGGCCGACGCUGCCCUCGGCGUGGUGCAAUGGGUGGUGAGCAAGGCGCUAGCCACCGUCACGGAUAUCUUCCAGGAGGCUUGGGAGGGCACCAGGAUGUUUGGUCCCAACGUUGAGGCCCUCAGGAUGGAACUGCUGCUCGUCAAGGCCACGCUCGAAAAUGCUGCCUGCAAGGAGAUCAGCGGUCCAGCCAUGGAGGAGCUGUUGCAGAUGAUGCGGGACUCGGCGCACAAUGCUCAAGACUUGCUGGACGAGCUGGACUACUUCCGCAUCCAGGACAAGCUCCGCGGCACAUAUGAGGCUGCCGACGAGCACGGCGAGGGUGGUGUCCAGCACCUUGCCCGUGAUGUUCGCCACACUCGCAAAUCUAUUAGCAAACGGCUGGCAUCUUUCACCGGGUCCUGCUUUGGUGCCAAUGCUCGCCAUCCCCAACAAGAAGAUGCAAGACAACAUGUCAGCUGUUGCGCUUGGCAGCAUGCUAGGCACAUAACACGCGGCGAUUCCUCCUCUGCGCCAAACGCCAAUCAGGCUGAUCAGGAGGUCUCCCCGCAUCCACAUGUUCAUGGUAAUGAAGAUCGUGACAAUGCACCAGAAACACCAAUACCAGAGUUUAAUAGGCCUGAUUUCUCUCAAAGGAUGACUACCAUUGUAGAGAAACUGCAGCCUGUGCGUAAUGAGGUUGACAAGAUUUUGCAACGUUAUGACCGUAGAAGUGUUCUUCACAUUGCCCAGAGCCGUCCCACCACCACACCUCUGAGUGCAGAGCCAAAAAUGUAUGGGAGGGACCAUGUCAUGAAGAGUAUCAUAGAUGAUAUCACGGAGGGGCAAUACAGUGACAAGGCUCUAACUGUGCUUCCAGUUAUUGGUCCGGGGGGAAUUGGGAAGACAACUCUGAUACAACACAUAUAUAACAACCAGCAAGUGCGGAAUCAUUUUCCGGUCAGGAUUUGGAUAUGUGUGUCGUUUAAUUUCAACCUGGGUAAGGUGCUAGAACAGAUUAAAGAAUAUACCCUUGCGGCUGAAGGUGAAAAUGGGUGUAUGAGACCAGAAGAGCUGAUUGAACACAGAUUGAAAUCCAAGAGGUUCAUACUUGUAUUGGAUGAUAUAUGGCAGUUUACUAAUGUGGAUGACUGGGAAAAACUAUUAUUGAUACUCGGCAAGUCACAAGAAAAGGGCUCCAUGGUUCUAGUCACAACUCGGCAGAAAGAGAUAGCAGAUCAAGUUAAGAAAACUGUAGAGCCAAAAGAACUGAGUGGUUUAGAACCUGAAGAGUUUAGGAAGUUAUUCCUUGUUUAUGUCUUUGAUGCAGAGCAAUAUCCCAGUGAAAAACUUCAUUUGCGUGAGACUGGAGAUAAGAUAACAGAAAAACUAAGGUGCUCCCCUCUUGCAGCAAAGACCGUUGGUAGAUUACUGAGGACAGACCCUUGUUUGGCUCAUUGGAAAAGGGUCCUAGAAAGUAAAGAAUGGGUGAAGCAGACCAAUGGCAAUUGGAUUAUGCCUGCUUUGGAGCUUAGCUAUGACUUUCUCCCUUUCCACCUGCAACAAUGUUUUUCCUAUUCUGCAUUGUUUCCUGAAGAUUACCCUUUCAGAAGCCGUGAGCUCAUCAGCCUGUGGAUUGGACUAGAUAUUUUGAUACUUGAUGGUCAAAAUCAAACACUUGAAGACAUAGGUUUCAGAAAUUUACAGGAGUUAGUCAUCCAUGGAUUUUUCAGAGAAGAGCAAGUUGAUGGUGAUCGGUGUUAUGUUAUGCAUGACCUGCUGCAUGAUUUGGCAUUGAAGGUUGCAUCUCAUGAUUGCCUUAGUUUACGUUUCCCUGAUGUUGGAUCAGUAAAAAUUUAGCCAACAACCCGACACUUGUCUAUUAGCACAGAGGACUUGGAUAAAUAUGAUGCAGUGUCUGGUGAAAAAUUAAAGACUAAAUUGGAAAAACUGAAGACAACAGUGAAGGUUGAACAUUUGCAAACACUGAUGUUAUUUGGGGAAAUGGAUGAAGGUUUUGCCAAGAUACAUGGUGAUUUUUUUGGGGAAGCAAAUGCUCUUCGUGUUCUUUAUUUUCCCCACCUGAUGUGCCCCAUGGAGUCUGUGUUACAUACCUUUUCAAGACUUGUCCACCUACGAUGCCUAUGUCUAGGAACACGGAUGAGACAGAUGCAGUUACCACCUAACAUCUCUAAAUUUUAUCAUUUAAGGGUUCUAGAUCUUGAGAGGUGGGGUGGCAGUGGUGAUUUCCCCGAAGACAUGUGCAACCUUGCAAAAUUGUGCCACUAUUAUCCCCCAAGGGAUGAUGGGCUUCAGUUUGAUAUUUAUAAUGUGGGAAAACUUAAACUCUUAGAAAAGUUAAUGGUAUUUCGUGUCAAUAAAAAGAAUGAAGGAUUUGAACCAAAGCAGCUUGAGCAUUUGACCAAGCUAUGGGAGCUUGGCAUCUACAACCUUGAGAAAAUACAUACAAAAGAGGAGGCAGCUCAAGCAAAGCUGGUUGAGAAAAAGUGCUUGAGGAGGUUAAAAUUGGACUGGGAUAGUGAGCAAUCUAGCAUUGAGCCUGGUGUGGAAGCAGUGGUUCUUGAGAGCCUUAAACCACAUGGAAAUCUUCAAGUACUGUGCAUUAGAGGGCAUGGAGGCCCUUCUUGUCCAACAUGGCUGGGUGAUGUGUGGGAUCUUCGUGAACUAAGGUUGAAGGAUAUGGCAAGACUGAAGGAGCUUAUUAUAGGGAAAAGCUUUUUCAUGCUAAUAAAGCUUGAACUCAUUGGCCUAGCAAGUUUUGAAAAAUGGCUUUACACAAGUAAACCAGAGUCUUCCCUAGGUGGAGACGUGUUGCCAAGGGAUGCUCAUAUCUUUCCUGCUUUGCAAGUGCUGAUUAUCAAAAACUGCCCGAAAAUCGAGUUUCCGGUUUCAAACAACAUUCUUUACCUAGAUUGGUUUCCCAAACUACAAGAGCUUGAGAUACGGUACUGUCCAGAAUUCUCAUUCGUGAUUCCAAUAUCCCGGAUUGAAAGUCUGCGUCGUGUCACGAUCAAAGGUGUCAAGCUACUAGAAAAAUUUGAGUACACAAAAUCAUCUGAUGGAGCAGAAUUGGAAAUUAUUGGAAAGGGUGAUCUGCAUAGCUUAGACCAAGUGUUAGUUUUCGAUGAAAAAACAAGUCUUGAGAAACUGACACUCCAGGGGUGCCCACCUCUAGAGUUAAAGCACCUUAUGAUGUUAAGCUCGUUGAAGAAAUUGAUUGUAAAAUGUUCAGUUAGUCUGGUUGGACCACUAAGAGGUCAGAGUAAUGGGAAAUGCCAUCUCCCUGUUGAGUAUAUGAGGAUCGAGUGGUUAAAAGGUAUUAGUGGAAAGGAAUUGACGGAGCUCCUCCCCCACCUCCCAAUGCUCUCCAAACUGGAAAUAAUUCGUUAUCGAAGAAGGGAAAUGAUGUUUUCGCGGCGGUAUCAGCAACCAAUGGAGAUGGAGGAAGAUGAAGUAACAGCAGCAGAAGGGGAAGAUGAUGAUGGGACACUGCUCUUUCCAGCUUAUCUCUCCGACUCACUACAGGAUGCUCAUAUGUUCCCUCUUUUGCAAGUGCUAAUUAUUAGAGAUUGGCCGAAGCUCUUGAGGUUCCCUUUCUCAAACCACAUUGUUUCCCCAGAUUGGUUCCCCAAACUACAAGAGCUUGAGAUACAAGGCUGUCCAGAAUUCUCAUGGGUGAUUCCCAUCUCCUGGAUUAACAGUCUGCGUCGUGCCACGAUAAAAAAUGUAAAGUUACUACAGGAGUUUGUGUACUCAAAAUCAUCUGGUAGAGCAGAAUUGGAAAUCGUUGGACGGGGUGAUCUGCAUAGCUUAGACCAAUUGUUAGUUUUCGAUAAAGAAACAUGUCUUGAGAAGCUGACACUGCUGAGGUGCCCACCGCUGGAGUUGAAGCACCUUCUGAAGCUAAAAUCGCUGAAGACAUUGAUUGUACACCUUUCAGAUGGUCUGGUUGGACCACUAGUAGGUCAGGGUGAUGUGGAAUGGCAGCUUCCUAUUGAGCAUAUCGAGAUCUACAACAUAAAUGGUAUUAUUGGCAAGGAUUUGACCGAGCUACUCCCCCACCUCCCGGGGCUCUCCAAAUUGAAAAUAAGUGAUUGUGAAAACAUAAAAAAGCUGGUAGUGGGGGUGGGUGUGCAACAAACAGCAUCAGAAGCAUCAGAGAUGGGCGCGAGGUGAAAUAACAGCGGCAGCAGAGGAAGAGGAUGAUGGGGUGUUGUUCUUCCCAGCUCAUCUCUGUGACUCACUACUGGAGUUUGAGUUCGAUGACUGCCCAGACCUAGUCCUGGUGGAGCCACCAACUCUUGUUCCUGGAAGAGGAGGGCUCCAAGCCUUGCAAACCCUUCAGAGAUUAAGCAUAGCGCCUUCGCCCAGGUUUUUAUCCAGAUUGGAAAUAGUGCCUUCCCAUCACAUUUUUCCUUCGUCCCUGCAAUUCCUGGAGCUUAUGGAUGUGAAGGGCUUGAUGACACUGGAGCCCCUCUCAAACCUCUCCUCUCUUGUCACAUUAAAACUGUUGAAUUGUGGAGAGGGUCUGACAUGUCGGGGCUUGCAGCCUCUCCUUAGCACCGGGGGCCAGCUCAAAGAAUUAAGACUCUCUUUCAGCCCUAAAUUCUUUUCUGGUUGGGAGGACGUUGAAGGAGGAGGAGAGCAGCAGACACAUUUUGUUUCAUCCACACUGCAUGAGCUCAUGACGGAUGACGCAGCAGGAUUUCUUUCUGCACCCAUCUGCAGCUUCCUCUCGUCCUCCCUUACCAAGCUGAAACUUUGUGGGGACUGGUCUGAAGGGAUAGAGCGCUUCAGCAAGGAGCAAGAGGACGCCCUUCAGCUCCUCUCCUCCCUCCAGGAACUAGAGUUUUGGCAAUUUCACAAUCUUCAGCAACUCCCAGCAGGAUUGCACAACCUUACCAGCCUCAAGGAAUUAGCGAUCCACUCUGCAACCCUCUCGUCAUUGCCCAACGAUGUCCUCCCUGAAUCACUUCAAAAGCUAGUUAUUAUAUACGGGUGCAACGAGGAGCUAAAACGGCACUGCAGGGGGUUAGAGGGAACCAUCCCAGAACUCAUAAUACACUGAUCCAAGGGCCGUGCCUUGGAGUUUCCAUGUAUAUUCUUCUAGCCUUGUAGUGUUCUGCUCUUUCCAUACGACACUCUUGCCUCAUGCAGUGACAUGAGGGUCUUGUGGCCGCUGUCUUCCUUCCUGUACAUAAAUCUGGUGUUUUUUCAAUGUAACGGGUUUCUUCCUAUUUGCACUUAAUUUGGGUUAUUGUCAUCCCUUCAUUAAGAUGUGUCAGUCUACUUUCCUAUUUUGAGUGUCACGAUCAAGAUAGCAGUACGACAUCAGUAUGGAAUAAAUGAGACUUCGGGUCAGUCUACUGAUAUUAAGGCGUUUACAUUUUGUCCAAAAACUCAUCAAGACUGAAGGUGUACCUGGAAAAUGUUCAGUUUUAGGGAUUAAAGGAUCAUCUUGGCAUAAUUAUGGGAAACCAUGAGUUGUCAGUGUUUUGCUACUGAUAAGGAUCUUCGCAAGAAUAGCCUGUAUACCAUAGCAGUGCACGUGUGAAGCCAAUUCAGAUCAUGGGGAGUAGUAGCAGUUUGGAGGUGAAUUUGUGCAAGUGUUACAGUGGAGCCCAGGACAUUGUCUUCUUACUUCUAUGAGUUCAGAAGAUCUCCCCUUUCGAAGCACUACUCAUCACCAACAGACUGGCAGAGCUGCACAUGCGGUCUCGGGAAUCAUUUAUGCAUUUGAAGUGAUACAACAUGGGCAACUGCAGCUUCGAAUUGGUCCCUAGUUGGUCUUCAGAUGGACUCCCCCUCUAAAUCAGAAAUGUGCUUCAUUGCUCCAGGAAGAUGCAGCCAACAGACCUCAAACUGGUAUUGCAAAGGUGUGACUGCAAUGGAGAAGGUAUAGAUGCCGCUCAAAGAACAGUUCGGGGCACCGAAAGGAACACCCCUACUCAUGGCUCCUGCCAAGAACGGCACGCAAGGAACUGCGGAUGUUCAUUCAUGCGAUCGAGAACCGGCUGCCGAGGAGGUGACGAAUUUACUUGCAACCACUCCGCGGAGCCACGCUAAGGAAGACGCAGAGGAAACACUGUCUAGGAUAGCAGAAGCAUAGCCUGCAGCUAGGUGGUGGUACAUCUGAAGCCUGUCAGCCUUGCCAUGUCACUCAGAAAUUUCUGCGAUGAGUAGGAACCAGACUGAAGAAAUCGACACUUGCCAUGCUGUUAACUGAAGAAAUCGACACUUGUCAUGCUGUUAACUGAAGAAAUCGACACCCAGCAGUCGAUUGGCGCCAAAUCGGAAGGGCUCAACGUCGACCGUCAGAUCUUCAUCUAACAGCAACUUACAGCUUCGCUCGGAGUUACAACAGGCCACCACCCUUGGUCGCACAUCCAGCGGCUCUGAACACUGGAGCGGCCAAAGUUUGAGAAUAGUACUGUCUGUUGUAUGCAACUUGCUCUGUUCCAGUAUUGGGCUAUCAGCCUAUCACUGGGAAAGACCAAUCUCCUCGGAAGCAACAGAUUCAAUUGGGGGAAGGUGUGGUUGACUGAGGCAGUCUUCUGCCGCUGCAACAUCCACGCAAUAAUGUGUACCAGAUCCAUCUUAAGUACACGCUAGUCGCACAGAUGAAGUUGUUGUUGAAGAAGAUUUUUUGAAGGUGACCCAUGCUGCGGCUGCAGUACUGUCCAAGAAAAGUAUCAAGGUCAUAGUGACAAACUAACGACCAAGAUUAUCAUUUCGUCGAGCCCCAAAUACAUGAAGUUGCAGCUGAAAGCCUUUUAUUACCCAAAGGCCAAAACUGGCACUGCAAAGGUGUGAUAGAUCCCAUUGAAAAGUUCAGGGCACCAAACGGCAAACGCAAUGUGGUACUCACGGUUCCCGCCAAGAACAGCAUGCAAGGACUUCUAUACAUCUGCUCGGCGACCUCAGCAACAGGUGUACAUAAAACACCGGAGAGCGUUCAUUCAUGCGAGAAUCGCUGUCAAGGAGGGUGAUGGAUUGAGUUGCAACCAGUCCGCGGAAGAUCUGAAGCCAAGCUAAGGAAGAAGCAGAAACACUGCCUAGGCUGGCAGACGCACAUAUAGCCUGUCGGCUUGUGAUGUUUGCUCAGAAUUAAAUUGCUGUGAUGAGCAUGUACGGUGUGAGGCCUUUUUCAUGUUCAUAACGUGUGUGCAAUGGAACCAGACUGCAUCAUCUUCUGAAGAAAUCGACAUUUGUUAUGAUGUUGUUAACUGAAGAAAUCGACAGCUGUCAUGUUGUUAACUGAAGAAAUCAACACUUGUCAUCUUGUUAACUGAAGAAAUCGACACUUCUCAUGAUUUUAACUGAAAGAAACCGACGCCCAGCAGUGGAUUGGCGGCAUGCAAGCUCCACCCCGACUUACGACACUCCACCACCCUUGGUCGCACAUCCAAGAAAACGGCUCUGAAGACUGUAGUUGGGUCGCUAUUUGAAUUAUUAUUACCUUUAUUACUGUCUCCUUGUUCACUUGCUUUACUUUUGCAUUAAAGUUCAGAAGAUUACCUUUCACUGGUUGUAAUGGGUAUAAAACCAACCCCGGAUCUAUCUGAGUGCCAUGGACCUCAUCUUGCUGUACUUGGGGUAAACCUCCUGGCUGGCAUAUCAUCAAAAG